Molecule: unclassified non-coding RNA, 92 nt
Filed under: Chryseobacterium balustinum
Lineage: Bacteria; Pseudomonadati; Bacteroidota; Flavobacteriia; Flavobacteriales; Weeksellaceae
Description: Flavo-1 RNA
Source: RNAcentral
UCCUAGCCCGGAUUGAACGGUAUGUUUGAGCUCUUUUUGCUAAAAAGGAAAGGCAAGGCGCAAAAAAGCGAGUAGUGAAAGCCGGAAAUAGC